RNAcentral lists this transfer RNA (79 nucleotides) under Candidatus Omnitrophota bacterium. RNAcentral describes it as "tRNA-Pro". It matches the Rfam family "tRNA". From Rfam's summary of the family: Transfer RNA (tRNA) molecules are approximately 80 nucleotides in length. Lineage: Bacteria; Pseudomonadati; Candidatus Omnitrophota. The record is from RNAcentral.
CGGGGCAUGGCUCAGCUUGGCUUAGAGCGCUUGGUUUGGGACCAAGAGGUCGGUGGUUCGAAUCCACCUGCCCCGACCA